This is a long non-coding RNA of Bubalus bubalis (water buffalo), 776 nucleotides long. RefSeq lists it as uncharacterized. Lineage: Eukaryota; Metazoa; Chordata; Mammalia; Artiodactyla; Bovidae. The transcript is spliced from 3 exons. The record is from RefSeq and is a predicted model, not a curated record.
CAACCCUGUGCCUCCACUCUUGAGUGGGAUCUCUGGGAGACAGUACUAAAUGUAUCUGAAGAUUUAGCCCCUUGAGGAAGCUGGAGUGUCUUCCAACUCCCAUCCCAUAUUGGCUGAGGAUUUCUCAAAACCCAGCACUCCCUGCCAGCCCCUUCUAUAUAAGGGCUGAGUUAAGCUCAGGCAGAGUCACAAAUGUUUGCAGGAGGACACUGUCAAAACGUACUGGAACUCUAACAGUAUGAUGGCUUCUAAUUGGGAUAUUCAGAUUGCUAUGAGAACAUGGAUUCAUGCUGCUGGGGAAAAUUCCAAGAAGGUUUCAGAAACUUGGUAACAUUUACCAUGGUAGAUGAUGUCAUGAAGUAGCUGCAAUUUCCACAGAGACAAAAAAAUAAUAAUAAUAAUGUGCAAGAAUGGCUAAGACUAGUGUCAGAGGAAUGCCUAUAUCUGAGGAGCGGCUUGAGAAAGAGUAGACAGACGUCAAGUUCAAUGUUAGUAAAGAUGUUAACAUCUUCAUUUUAUUGAUGAGAAAACCACGCUCAGAAAUGUGAAGUACUCCUUCAAGUCACACAUUGCAAAUGCUGGAAAGGAAGAAAUCCAGAGGGCACACCUGCUUGCGGAAAUGAAGAAAUAAGGCUCCUUCAAGCUUCUGCCUGCACCACCAAAGCCUGUGUCUCCGGUCCUAAGAGUGGCAAUAUGGUGGCCCCACUUCUAGGCAUCUCGUGUGGAUCCUGGAGAAAAAAAGAGAAUAAAGGCAAUGAGUGAAAGGUGCCUGCCAA